GUCCUUGUAGUAUAACUCAAUACCCUGGUCUUGUAAAUCAGAAAUGGAAGUAUCUACUCCCUAGGACA
RNAcentral lists this transfer RNA (68 nucleotides) under Aotus nancymaae (Ma's night monkey). RNAcentral's name for it is "tRNA-Thr". Lineage: Eukaryota; Metazoa; Chordata; Mammalia; Primates; Aotidae. The record is from RNAcentral.